UGGGGAAUAUUGGACAAUGGGCGAAAGCCUGAUCCAGCCAUGCCGCGUGUGUGAAGAAGGUCUUCGGAUUGUAAAGCACUUUAAGUUGGGAGGAAGGGCAGUAAGCGAAUACCUUGCUGUUUUGACGUUACCGACAGAAUAAGCACCGGCUAACUCUGUGCCAGCAGCCGCGGUAAUACAGAGGGUGCAAGCGUUAAUCGGAAUUACUGGGCGUAAAGCGCGCGCAGGUGGUUCGUUAAGUUGAAUGUGAAAGCCCCGGGCUCAACCUGGGAACUGCAUCCAAAACUGGCGAGCUAGAGUAGGGCAGAGGGUGGUGGAAUUUCCUGUGUAGCGGUGAAAUGCGUAGAUAUAGGAAGGAACACCAGUGGCGAAGGCGACCACCUGGGCUCAUACUGACACUAAGGUGCGAAAGCGUGAGGAGCAAACAGG
RNAcentral lists this ribosomal RNA (429 nucleotides) under Pseudomonadota bacterium. RNAcentral describes it as "Proteobacteria bacterium partial 16S ribosomal RNA". It matches the Rfam family "Bacterial small subunit ribosomal RNA", at positions 355 to 776 of the family's 1533-position model. Lineage: Bacteria; Pseudomonadati; Pseudomonadota. The record is from RNAcentral.